AUUCAUAUCCCAAGAAUCUACAAUAUUCACCUGAAUCUUGAAGAAGAAGAUCAUUGAAGGCAAAGUCAAUUCUCUGUUCCAUGUUUUCUGAGUGAUUGAAGCAUUACAAUAUUCCAUGGAGAAGGGAAAGAGAGGGAUUUUACCCCCAGGAGGAGGGAUGAUUUGAUAAAUGGCUGCCCUUUGCUACUAUCUGUUUCUGCCUAAUACUUAUGCAGUAGACAAUCAAGCUAUUUAACUCUUGGUUUGAGUUCAACCCAAGUAUUUAAAUUCUGAUUCAACAACAGGCUGAAGAAUGUCACGGGAUGGACUUCAAUGUGAGGGACGGCGAGUCAAGUGACUAUCAGGAGUUGAGAAAAAGUCUUAUAAACACCUUGGCUUUCUGAGUUAUAUUAAUAACAAUUAGAAAACCUCUUUUUCUAGAGCAAUAUUCAUGGAAGUGAACAGAGAUCCCUAUGGGUUUGUUACAACUUCUAUGCUGUCUUGAUCCCAUCAUGUCUCACUCCAAGACAUUCCUA
Molecule: long non-coding RNA, 515 nt
Organism: Quercus lobata
Lineage: Eukaryota; Viridiplantae; Streptophyta; Magnoliopsida; Fagales; Fagaceae
Exons: 3
Source: RefSeq, a predicted model, not a curated record